UUGACUCCAGUAAUGCAUGUUAUGGUGGAACAACCUCCCUCUUGAAUUGGUGUAACUUCGAUCGAAAGUCGAUGUUGGGAUGAACGUUACGGCCUUGUAGUCUGCACAGAUAGCACGGUUAGUCACCCAGCAUGGCCAUCUAACUGUUGCACUAAGUGGAUUCAUUUUCUCUUCCUUUUGUCUCCGUGCAACACUCAUUUGCUAUCCCAUAUUAUGUUUAGGUUUAUGCAGAGGGGCCAGCUCGGCCUAUGGGUGGAGCUGCUACAGUUGCUAUGCUUAUUGGUCCAAAUGCAUCUAUUUCUUUCGAAAGCAAAUAUAGAGCUUCUCACAUGACUCAUGUUUACGAUCUCUACAAGCCUCAUCUUGCAAGUGAAUAUCCGGUUAGGGUUCUAUCACUUGUUUUUGUUUGUUUGUUUUAGGCAUCUAAAUAAACAAUUUUCUCAACCAGAUGCCAUUUUUGCCUAUUUCAUAGUAUUAUAUCAUCUGUACACAUUAUAGCUAGGUUGUUAAUGGGGAACUUUAUCAAACAUGCGAUUGAGGACCAUAUAGUUCCUAAUAAAAAGAAGCCUCAUAUAGUUUGUCUAUAUAUGGUUCCUAAUAAAAAAACCUCAUAUGCAGGUUGGGGACAUAGGUGUGUGGUUGCUGAGUUAACUGCGUCAUUUUGAAGUUCUGAUAAGAAAAAUCCACAGUCGCCAUGCUAUUAUGUCCUUUUUAAGUGGCCUGAAUUCGCUCGUGCUUGGUGCAGCGAGAUGCAUGGCGCUGCGGGAGUUGUGGCGGACAUGGACAGAUGAAUUCACAUGAUCUUGAGAUUGCAUGGAACCCUAUGUUAUUGACACAUAAGGUGUAUGAUCUCGACCUCACUGAACCAUGUCUUGGUAAAUUUAUCGGUUCCUUACAUCUGUCCGUGUAACUUCGAACCCAGUUUAGACAUACUCAGUUUCACAGGGCAGACGAGUAAGGAAAAGCAAUUGAUGUUGUUAAGAAGCAUUGGGGAAAGUAUGUAUCUUGCCUCGAAUCUCUUAUGUCUGUUAUUUCAAUUGCUUGUAUGAUAAAAAUUACUGCGUGAAGAUUUUGCUUUUGCAGUUUGCCUGGUUUAAUGCUCUAUUCAUUUACUUUGCAGCUCAUAACACUUCUGUUGAAACUACUUGUGAGCAGAUGUUUGCGCCAUUAAUGUCGACCAUUAUAUUGGAGAACCUGAGUGUAAAUAAAUUUGCAUCUUGUUUGUUUCAAGAACCUGAGUGUUGUUACAGAAUAACAUAUUAGCUAAUCUCAAUUUCUUAGGGUGACACCUGUUGCACCAAUUGACAUUGUUGACAGCAUAACAAAAGAAGCUUGAACUAAUAUUAAGUUUUGCAAUUGAGAAGAGGAGCGCGAGGGAAUAUGAUGUGACAUGUGAGUAUCUUCUCUCUAUGUAACUACAUCAUUGGUAAUUUGUAUUCUUUCACUAUUUGUCAUACAGUUCCACCAAAUGUCACAAGUACCUAAUACAAACCAAGGGCUUCCUUUAAUAGCUAUAUGUUUUACAUCACCGAGAAACAAAUUCUACAAUAAUGUUGGUAAGCAUCAUAUUCACAUGCCACAGCCAAAAAGAGCAAGCACAUAGUAUUCUAAGAAUGGCCCAUAAAACUAAGCGAUGUAGCAGAGGAAGGUGGCAAACCUUAAUCACAACACGACAUCCGCUAGCAACUGAUGGAUUGAACAAUACCUGGAAGAAGAACAUAGCAAUACACACAUCAAAAAGAGGCCAAGACAUGGACUGGAUCAAAUGCAUAUCCUACCGGAAAAGAAACAAUAGUUGGAGGUUCGCCAUCAUGGA
Molecule: long non-coding RNA, 1816 nt
Filed under: Triticum aestivum (bread wheat)
Lineage: Eukaryota; Viridiplantae; Streptophyta; Magnoliopsida; Poales; Poaceae
Description: long non-coding RNA (TAES_LNC004733)
Source: RNAcentral